Molecule: ribosomal RNA, 348 nt
Filed under: Triticum aestivum (bread wheat)
Lineage: Eukaryota; Viridiplantae; Streptophyta; Magnoliopsida; Poales; Poaceae
Description: partial small subunit ribosomal RNA
Source: RNAcentral
AUGGCGCGCAUCAAAAUGGAGGCCACGCUCCAGACAUCCGACAGCCGACAGGUGGCAAACCACCGACAUAUUGCUGCCCCAUUGGCGAAAGAAGCUGAAUCACGCUGCCCAAGACCGACGACACAGCGUGCAGAUGCAGGAAACUUUCACGGGAAUAAGAGGCAGCGGCGCAGCUCGGCGGGACACUAUGACAACACCCUGUUCUUCAACCCUCUCAUUGGGAACAUCUUCGCAGACGGAACACUGAUGUAUCAUGUGUUGCAUCUGGGAGUUUGGUAUCACUACAUCAUCAUACGGCCAGUCGGUUUCGAGGAUGGUGGGCCGGAGGCAAUUCUAUUCUUCGUGUAG